RNAcentral lists this transfer RNA (96 nucleotides) under Streptomyces parvus. RNAcentral's name for it is "tRNA-Pro". Lineage: Bacteria; Bacillati; Actinomycetota; Actinomycetes; Kitasatosporales; Streptomycetaceae. The record is from RNAcentral.
GCGGGGGUGGUCCUCCGGGGUGGGGACCCGCUUCGGAAGCCCGUAGACGGCGGUGGAGGAGAUGUGCACGACCCGUUCGACGCGGGCCCGCCGCGC